This 2907-nucleotide ribosomal RNA is filed under the name Providencia rettgeri. Its description in RNAcentral is "bacterial LSU rRNA". It matches the Rfam family "Bacterial large subunit ribosomal RNA". Lineage: Bacteria; Pseudomonadati; Pseudomonadota; Gammaproteobacteria; Enterobacterales; Morganellaceae. The record is from RNAcentral.
UUAAGCGACUAAGCGUACACGGUGGAUGCCUAGGCAAUCAGAGGCGAUGAAGGACGUGCUAAUCUGCGAUAAGCGUCGGUAAGGUGAUAUGAACCGUUAUACCCGACGAUUUCCGAAUGGGGAAACCCAGUGCAAUCCGUUGCACUAUCGUUUGAUGAAUACAUAGUCAAACGAAGCGAACCGGGGGAACUGAAACAUCUCAGUACCCCGAGGAAAAGAAAUCAACCGAGAUUCCCCUAGUAGCGGCGAGCGAACGGGGAGCAGCCCAGAGUCUUAAUCAGCAUUAGUAUCAGGAGAACGGUCUGGAAAGUCCGGCAGUAAAGGGUGAUAGCCCCGUAUCUGAAGAUAUUAGUGUUGUGAACUCGACGAGUAGGGCGGGACACGUGUUAUCCUGUCUGAAUAUGGGGGGACCAUCCUCCAAGGCUAAAUACUCCUGAUUGACCGAUAGUGAACCAGUACCGUGAGGGAAAGGCGAAAAGAACCCCGGCGAGGGGAGUGAAAUAGAACCUGAAACCGUGUACGUACAAGCAGUGGGAGCCUUGAUUUAUCAGGGUGACUGCGUACCUUUUGUAUAAUGGGUCAGCGACUUAUAUUCUGUAGCAAGGUUAACCGUAUAGGGGAGCCGUAGGGAAACCGAGUCUUAACUGGGCGAAUGAGUUGCAGGGUAUAGACCCGAAACCCGGUGAUCUAGCCAUGGGCAGGUUGAAGGUUGGGUAACACUAACUGGAGGACCGAACCGACUAAUGUUGAAAAAUUAGCGGAUGACUUGUGGCUGGGGGUGAAAGGCCAAUCAAACCGGGAGAUAGCUGGUUCUCCCCGAAAGCUAUUUAGGUAGCGCCUCGUGAACUCAUCUUCGGGGGUAGAGCACUGUUUCGACUAGGGGGUCAUCCCGACUUACCAACUCGAUGCAAACUACGAAUACCGAAGAAUGUUAUCACGGGAGACACACGGCGGGUGCUAACGUUCGUCGUGAAGAGGGAAACAACCCAGACCGCCAGCUAAGGUCCCAAAGUCAUAGUUAAGUGGGAAACGAAGUGGGAAGGCUCAGACAGCCAGGAUGUUGGCUUAGAAGCAGCCAUCAUUUAAAGAAAGCGUAAUAGCUCACUGGUCGAGUCGGCCUGCGCGGAAGAUGUAACGGGGCUAAACUAUGCACCGAAGCUGCGGCAGCGAUAUGUAAAUAUUGUUGGGUAGGGGAGCGUUCUGUAAGCCUGUGAAGGUGUGCUGUGAGGUAUGCUGGAGGUAUCAGAAGUGCGAAUGCUGACAUAAGUAACGAUAAUGCGGGUGAAAAACCCGCACGCCGGAAGACCAAGGGUUCCUGUCCAACGUUAAUCGGGGCAGGGUGAGUCGACCCCUAAGGCGAGGCAGAAAUGCGUAGUCGAUGGGAAACGGGUUAAUAUUCCCGUACUGGUGAUAAUUGCGAUGGGGGGACGGAGAAGGCUAGGCUGGCCGGGCGACGGUUGUCCCGGUUUAAGGAUGUAGGCAGGUGAAUUAGGCAAAUCCGGUUCACUAUAUGCUGAGGUCUGAUGACGAGUCACUACGGUGGCGAAGUAGCUCAUGCCCCGCUUCCAGGAAAAGCCUCUAAGCUCUAGAUUAUCAUUAAUCGUACCCCAAACCGACACAGGUGGUCAGGUAGAGAAUACUCAGGCGCUUGAGAGAACUCGGGUGAAGGAACUAGGCAAAAUGGUGCCGUAACUUCGGGAGAAGGCACGCUGGCGCUAGGUGAAGUGGUUUACCCAUGGAGCUGAAGCCAGUCGCAGAUACCAGCUGGCUGCAACUGUUUAUUAAAAACACAGCACUGUGCAAACACGAAAGUGGACGUAUACGGUGUGACGCCUGCCCGGUGCUGGAAGGUUAAUUGAUGGGGUUAUCCGUAAGGAGAAGCUCUUGAUCGAAGCCCCAGUAAACGGCGGCCGUAACUAUAACGGUCCUAAGGUAGCGAAAUUCCUUGUCGGGUAAGUUCCGACCUGCACGAAUGGCGUAAUGAUGGCCAGGCUGUCUCCACCCGAGACUCAGUGAAAUUGAACUCGCUGUGAAGAUGCAGUGUACCCGCGGCAAGACGGAAAGACCCCGUGAACCUUUACUAUAGCUUGACACUGAACAUUGAGCCUUGAUGUGUAGGAUAGGUGGGAGGCUUUGAAGUGUGGACGCCAGUCUGCAUGGAGCCAACCUUGAAAUACCACCCUUUAAUGUUUGAUGUUCUAACGUUGCCCCGUUAUCCGGGGUGCGGACAGUGUCUGGUGGGUAGUUUGACUGGGGCGGUCUCCUCCCAAAGAGUAACGGAGGAGCACGAAGGUUGGCUAAGCAUGGUCGGACAUCAUGCGGUUAGUGCAAAGGCAUAAGCCAGCUUGACUGCGAGAGUGACGGCUCGAGCAGGUACGAAAGUAGGUCUUAGUGAUCCGGUGGUUCUGAAUGGAAGGGCCAUCGCUCAACGGAUAAAAGGUACUCCGGGGAUAACAGGCUGAUACCGCCCAAGAGUUCAUAUCGACGGCGGUGUUUGGCACCUCGAUGUCGGCUCAUCACAUCCUGGGGCUGAAGUAGGUCCCAAGGGUACGGCUGUUCGCCGUUUAAAGUGGUACGCGAGCUGGGUUUAGAACGUCGUGAGACAGUUCGGUCCCUAUCUGCCGUGGGCGUUGGAAGAUUGAAAGGGGCUGCUCCUAGUACGAGAGGACCGGAGUGGACGCACCACUGGUGUUCGGGUUGUCAUGCCAAUGGCAUUGCCCGGUAGCUAAGUGCGGAAGAGAUAACCGCUGAAAGCAUCUAAGCGGGAAACUUGCCUUGAGAUGAGUCUUCCCUGACCCUUUAAGGGUCCUAAAGGAACGUUUAAGACUAAGACGUUGAUAGGUUGGGUGUGUAAGCAUAGCGAUAUGUUGAGCUAACCAAUACUAAUGAACCGUGAGGCUUAACCUG